Molecule: long non-coding RNA, 3643 nt
Organism: Camelus dromedarius (Arabian camel)
Lineage: Eukaryota; Metazoa; Chordata; Mammalia; Artiodactyla; Camelidae
Exons: 4
Source: RefSeq, a predicted model, not a curated record
CGCUCAGACGCCGGCAGUGCGCGCCCUUUUCCGACACUCCCAGAUCCCUGCAAAGGUCGGUUCUGGAGGCAAGUCCCAACCAACUCUGUGACCACGGCCCUCAGAGGAGAGGAGACCCCAAAAGUCUCCGUGAAACCUGGACCCCAGGUCUAAGGGAGCCUGUCACCGUCUCUGAUCACCAGGAGGGACGAAGAUGCCAGUGGACACCUGUCUUCCCAGCGGCCCAUGAGCAGGGCUACAAACUUUGCCAAGACUCCUGAUGGGGGUAAAAUCAGGGGAGAAGCCCCUCUGUGGUGUGACCCCUCCCUCUGGAGCAACGGAUGCAUGUCAUUUUGUUGAGAACAGAACAACACCCCCACCUCAAGACGUCUGCAGCCUAAUCCCUGGGACCUCGGAAUGUGACAAAGGCAGGGUUAAGAUGUUAAUCAGCUGCCUUGUGCUUGGUGGAUGUCCUGGCUCAUCCGAGGACACUGCCAAAUGUGAGGGUCCUUGAGGGGCCAGAGACACGGCAGUGUGGGGAGGACUUGGCCAGCCACAGCUGGCUUCUGCAGGUGGCCUCUUGAGGCCCUGGCUUCCCUAGAGUUUUCAUCAGGACCAGCCCAGCCCGCUGACACCUGAUUUUAGCCCAGAGAGACCCACUUGGACUUUGGCACCAGACCUGUGCAGUAGUAAGUCUGGGCUGUUUGCAGUUAAUUGUUACAGCUGCGGUUGGAAGCCAGUCUCCCUUCCAAGGCACCUCUUAUCACCCCUGCUUCUAUGGGAGAAGAAGGCUGACCCAACGUUCAGCUUUAGAUCUUCAUGAAGUUUUGGAGGGCAAGCUUCUGAAAACAUCAUGAAAGAACACUUUCUGGAGCACAGUCUGUCCUCAUGAGGUGGACAGGGCAGGAGGUGUUCUGAGAACUCUCACCUCGGUUUUGCUGAAGAGGCCAGGCAGGCACUGGGGGUUGGGGACUGCACUCAGGGGCUUCCCCUCUCUCUGCUGAAGAGCGGCCGGACGCCCGGACCAGGCCACCAAGGAGCCACUGAAAGCGGUCCAGCCGGACCUUCGCGAGAGUCCAGAUGGCUUCUACUUGGGCCUGGAAUUUCGGGGGUGAGACCCUGAUUCCAGAACCUCGUUCCUGUGGUUUCCAGACGCCCAGAGGAGCUAGAAGUGAUUUAAGGAAGGCCUGCAAAUCCUAGGACAGCGAGGGGUGUUGAGGGGAGCGGGCCUCAGCAGGGGGGCCUGUGGACUGUACAUGCAGAGCAGAGCACGACCCUCAAAAUGUGGAGAAGAGAACCCACAGCCGGGACCACGAUCCCUCACUGCACUCUCCUUGCUCAUGCGUGGACCUGCACAACUAGGUGGUUUCACAAGUGUAGCCUUAACUUUGGAAAUCUUCCUUUCCUUCAGAGGUUUUCUGUUUCCUCCUCCCUCCAUCCCAAGGGAAGAUCUCCUUUUUCCCCAGUAAUGAGGGACAUCAGACUGUUGCAAUGUCUGGCCAGAAGCCUGACGUUGGGUGAGGUGCCCGGAAGCUCCUGCACGGAGCUGCCCACCCACUCACCUGCCUAGGCCUUGGGGCAGUGGGGCAGGUCACCUGGCCGGCCAAGCCCCUUGCACUUGGGGCAGGUGGAAGGUUCUAGCUGCCAAGUCCUGCGGGCAAGAGCUGGAGUUGGGUGGUGCCCACGUCUCAGACGCCACCCAGGCUGAGCUCACCUCCCCGCAUCACCCAGUGCUGUGCUGCCUCCUGGCACUCGGAGCUGACCCACGGCAAUGGACAGGAGGCAUGUGCCAAGUGCCAGGUACAGAUGGCACUCAGAGUGGGUAGGAAGAGGGGUCAGGGGAGGUGCAAGGGGGGCUGGGAGUCGCAUGCCUGAUUCUAGUCCUGGCUCUGCUGAAGGGCUGUGGCACCUGACCUGAUGUCUUAAUGUCUCUGGGCCUCAGUUUCCUAUUUUAUCUCCCCUAUAGAAGUGGAAGCAAACUUACAAAGAAUUCCAUUUGUUGUGGUCAUUGAAGCCCAUGUCCACUUCCCUUUUACCCCAUCUGGUCAGUCAGGCCCAGAGGCACCGGGGGAGGGCAGGGAGCCAGCAACAGGGGCAGCCAGUGGCCUCAGGGAGCAGCAGCAGGGGCUCCUGAGUCCUGCUGCCCAGAGCGAGGGUAGGGGGCAUCCCGUCCGGGCCUUCAGUGCCCUGGUGCCCAGUGCAGCUGCCCUGGCCUUGGAGGGAAGGGCACCCAUGGCCGGCCUCCAGGUCAGCUCUGUAGACAGACCCCUCUGUCCACUUAAACAUAGCUUCUGCAAAAGUGCCCUCUGCCCUCCCUGACCCACCACACAGCAGAGGCCACUCCCAGCCAGGGUAGGGCAGGAGCUCAGCCUCUGAGCCUCUGCAGGAGGCUUCUGGGGCUUGUAAUCCCGCCUAAUCCUGCCUCAGAUCCCCUUGGGCAGGAGGAAGGCCACACACAGGAUCCUCAGGCCCAUGUUGGUCCUGGGGACAGGCCAGGGGAGGGGCCCUCUCCAGGCCUGAGCCCCUCCCCUGGGGGACCUGGGGGUCUGGGUCCAGGCCCAGCGCACACAGACCUGGAGCUGGGAGGCAGGUGUGCCGGCACAGAAGGUGACGUCAACCUGCCUGGCCCAGGCCCAGGCCCAGGGCCAGAAAAAACCAGAGCUGGGGCCUCCCCAGCUCCCUGGGUGGGAGAUACUGGGGGCCUUACAGGGUGUUCUGGCAUUUUGGUCCACACUGGACAUGGACCCUGCUUUGAGAAGUGCAUGGAAAGGGGGUUCCUCUCCAAGCUGAUGGCCUCCAUUCCUAAAAAUGGCCAAGCUGGAGGACAACUUUAUAUGUGGGCCAAAUGGGCCAGCUCCAGAAAGGCGUCCUCCCCAGCCCACCCCCCUCAGCCCCAGCCCAUGCCAGGUGCACCCCAAAUUGCCGGGGCCCUGUUAGCCCCCACAGUGGCCGCUGGGCAGUGCCUGGACCGCUCCAGGGAGAGGGAGUGAAUGAGGGGCAGCAGGGGGCCAGAUGGUCACACCAGUGCACUCCCAGGGCACCCUCCCACAGCCCUCCAGCUAUGAUGAAACAGGAGCGGGACGCCUGGGAGGCCUGGUUAACAAAGAGUGAAGUCUGAGCAGACACUCUGCUGCCAGAAGCGCUAUGCGGACAGAGGCAGGGUUAGGGGGCCUGUGCGGUGGGAGGUGAGGCCAUGCAAGCAGAUAGGGUAGGGGUCCCUGGAGAAAGGGAACCAGGCAUGGCUUUCUUGACAGAAGGGAAGCCAUUUUAUGGGCUAAGCCUGGCCACAGUGCUUGCCCUUGAGCAGGUGUCGAUCAUUAAUGAUCUCAAGGGGACAAAAGAACGCACAAACAAACUGUUAUCGGGCAAGAUAACGUGUCAGUUGUCGAGUCUUCAGUUCUGUUCCGAUGGCAAAGAUUAGCUGAGGCUGAACCACCAGUCCACUGACCCUCAGGGAGGACGAUGCUGACCUUUUCUAACCCUUGUGACUUCAAUCAACCGAAGCUCAGACUCUGUCGACCGCCCAGGUCCCCUCACAAAUAUGCACGUCCCCUUAGCUUAAAACUUCGCCAGCUUUGCUGCUCCAGGGGACACCACUCUGCUGAACGUCCCAGGUGUUCUGCCUACCUGCUGCGAGUAACAGUAAAUGCUUCCUUCUCCUGUG